Molecule: ribosomal RNA, 614 nt
Filed under: Trichoderma tomentosum
Lineage: Eukaryota; Fungi; Ascomycota; Sordariomycetes; Hypocreales; Hypocreaceae
Description: eukaryotic LSU rRNA
Rfam family: 5.8S ribosomal RNA (bases 226-379)
Source: RNAcentral
CCGUAGCUACGCGGAGGGACAUUACCGAGUUUACAACUCCCAAACCCAAUGUGAACGUUACCAAACUGUUGCCUCGGCGGGAACUCAUGCCCCGGGUGCGUCGCAGCCCCGGACCAAGGCGCCCGCCGGAGGACCAACCAAAACUCUUUUUGUAUACCCCCUCGCGGGUUUUUUAUAAUCUGAGCCUUCUCGGCGCCUCUCGUAGGCGUUUCGAAAAUGAAUCAAAACUUUCAACAACGGAUCUCUUGGUUCUGGCAUCGAUGAAGAACGCAGCGAAAUGCGAUAAGUAAUGUGAAUUGCAGAAUUCAGUGAAUCAUCGAAUCUUUGAACGCACAUUGCGCCCGCCAGUAUUCUGGCGGGCAUGCCUGUCCGAGCGUCAUUUCAACCCUCGAACCCCUCCGGGGGGUCGGCGUUGGGGAUCGGCCCUCCUCUUGCGGGGGCCGUCUCCGAAAUACAGUGGCGGUCUCGCCGCAGCCUCUCCUGCGCAGUAGUUUGCACACUCGCAUCGGGAGCGCGGCGCGUCCACAGCCGUUAAACACCCAACUUUCUGAAAUGUUGACCUCGGAUCAGGUAGGAAUACCCGCUGAACUUAAGCAUAUCAAAAGCCGGAGGAA